Molecule: transfer RNA, 72 nt
Filed under: Capra hircus (goat)
Lineage: Eukaryota; Metazoa; Chordata; Mammalia; Artiodactyla; Bovidae
Also listed under: 1 other name
Rfam family: tRNA
About the family: Transfer RNA (tRNA) molecules are approximately 80 nucleotides in length. Their secondary structure includes four short double-helical elements and three loops (D, anti-codon, and T loops).
Source: Rfam by way of RNAcentral
UCCCUGGUGGCUCAGACAGUAAAGCGUCUGCCUGAAAUGCGGGAGACCCAGGUUCAAUCCCUGGGUUGGGAA